This 408-nucleotide ribosomal RNA is filed under the name uncultured microorganism. RNAcentral's name for it is "bacterial SSU rRNA". It matches the Rfam family "Bacterial small subunit ribosomal RNA", at positions 509 to 917 of the family's 1533-position model. The record is from RNAcentral.
CAGCAGCCGCGGUAAUACGUAGGGUGCGAGCGUUAAUCGGAAUUACUGGGCGUAAAGCGUGCGCAGGCGGUUUUGUAAGACAGGCGUGAAAUCCCCGGGCUCAACCUGGGAAUGGCGCUUGUGACUGCAAGGCUGGAGUGCGGCAGAGGGGGAUGGAAUUCCGCGUGUAGCAGUGAAAUGCGUAGAUAUGCGGAGGAACACCGAUGGCGAAGGCAAUCCCCUGGGCCUGCACUGACGCUCAUGCACGAAAGCGUGGGGAGCAAACAGGAUUAGAUACCCUGGUAGUCCACGCCCUAAACGAUGUCAACUGGUUGUUGGGUCUUUGCUGACUCAGUAACGAAGCUAACGCGUGAAGUUGACCGCCUGGGGAGUACGGCCGCAAGGUUGAAACUUAAAGGAAUUGGCGGG